AAACUAAAUUUGUUUUAAAAAUCGAAUUUUAAAAUUUAAUGUAUAAAGUAAAAUUUUAAAAAAUUUUUUUCUAAACAAUAGAGUAAAAGUACUGUAAAGGAAAAUUGAAAUAAUUGAAAAUAAAAUUGUAAAAUAGUACAGUAAAAUUGGUACCUUUUGUAUCAGGUUAAACCUAAUUUUAUAAAUAAUAUUUAUCUAGAAAGUACAAGAGCUAUAAAUUUUGUUAGUAUUUGUUUCAAAAAGUUUAAUUAAAAAUUUAUGGAGGUAAUAUGCUAUUCAAUUGUACAGUUAUCUAGUUAUUUCCUAAAUAACCAUAGGUUAGAUUAUUAUUUGGGUUGUAAAAUUACAUUUUAUACUUAAAAAUAACUCUAGAAAUUAGGGGAUCAGCUCUAAUUUAAUAAAUAACAUAUUUUUGAAAAAUCUUUUUAAUAAGCUUUAAAUUAGCUAUACUAAAUUUUUAUAAAUAAUAAAAAUUUGUUUGUGAUUUAUGUAUGUUUUUUUUGUUAGGAAUAUAAAUGGUAAAAUUAUAUUACUUUAGAAAUAAUGGUUUUAUAAGUAGAAAUUUUGUAUAAUAUUGUAAUAAAAUAAAGUUUAGAAGUUUAUGUAUAAUAUUUUUCUCAAAAAUUCGGCAAAACAGCUUUUCGAAUGUUUAACAAAAACAUUUCCUUUUUAUAAAAAGGUAAGACCUGCUCACUGAAAUUUUAAAGAGCCGCAGUAUUUUGACUGUGCUAAGGUAGCAUAAUAAUUAGUUUUUUAAUUGAAAACUGGAAUGAAUGGUCAAACGAAAAAGCAACUUUUUUAGGAAUAAAAAUUUAAAUUAUAAUUUGGGUGAAAAUACUCAAAUAAUAUAAAAAGACGAGAAGACCCUGUAAAAUUUUACUAUAAAAAUAAAUUUAAAUUUAAAAUAACAUAAUUUUAUUUUUUUAAUAGAUUAGUUGGGGCGACAUUAAAAUAUAUAUAACUUUUUUUUAUUAAAAACUUUUAAGAAAGAAUAAUAUGAUCCUUUAUAAAGAUUAAAUGAAAAAAUUACUUCAGGGAUAACAGCGUAAUCUAUCUUAAGAGUUCAAAUCGACAGAUAGGUUUGCGACCUCGAUGUUGGACUAAAAUUUAACUGUAGUGCAGAAGUUACAGCUUAUGGUCUGUUCGACCAAUAAUAUUUUACACGAUCUGAGUUCAGACCGGCGUGAGCCAGGUUAGUUUCUAUCUUUUAUUAUUGAAAUUUUUACUUAGUACGAAAGGAUUGGUAAAUUACAAAAUUUUGUUUGUAAAAGAGUAUCACUAAAAUAUAUAAAA
This 1293-nucleotide ribosomal RNA is filed under the name Octolasmis warwickii. Its description in RNAcentral is "16S ribosomal RNA". The stretch from base 825 to 1214 matches the Rfam family "Bacterial large subunit ribosomal RNA", at positions 2049 to 2651 of the family's 2925-position model. Lineage: Eukaryota; Metazoa; Arthropoda; Thecostraca; Poecilasmatidae. The record is from RNAcentral.